GCCCAGACUCCUACGGGAGGCAGCAGUGGGGAAUAUUGCACAAUGGGGGGAACCCUGAUGCAGCGACGCCGCGUGGGUGAAGGAGUAUUUCGGUAUGUAAAGCCCUAUCAGCAGGGAAGAACAAUGACGGUACCUGACUAAGAAGCACCGGCUAAAUACGUGCCAGCAGCCGCGGUAAUACGUAUGGUGCAAGCGUUAUCCGGAUUUACUGGGUGUAAAGGGAGCGCAGGCGGCGCGUUAAGCCUGGUGUGGAGGCCCGCGGCCCAACCGCGGGACUGCAUUGGGAACUGGCGCGCUGGAGUGCCGGAGGGGUAGGCGGAAUUCCUAGUGUAGCGGUGAAAUGCGUAGAUAUUAGGAAGAACACCAGUGGCGAAGGCGGAUUACUGGACGACAACUGACGGUGAGGCGCGAAAGCGUGGGGAGCAAACAGGAUUAGAUACCCUCGUA
Molecule: ribosomal RNA, 447 nt
Filed under: uncultured bacterium
Lineage: Bacteria
Description: bacterial SSU rRNA
Rfam family: Bacterial small subunit ribosomal RNA
Source: RNAcentral